GCGGGCGUGGCGGAAUUGGCAGACGUGUCAGAUUUAGGAUCUGAUGUCUUUGCGACGUGCAGGUUCAAGUCCUGUCGCCCGCACCA
This 86-nucleotide transfer RNA is filed under the name Clostridiales bacterium. RNAcentral's name for it is "tRNA-Leu". It matches the Rfam family "tRNA". Rfam says of the family: Transfer RNA (tRNA) molecules are approximately 80 nucleotides in length. Their secondary structure includes four short double-helical elements and three loops (D, anti-codon, and T loops). The record is from RNAcentral. Lineage: Bacteria; Bacillati; Bacillota; Clostridia; Eubacteriales.